RNAcentral lists this ribosomal RNA (229 nucleotides) under uncultured bacterium. RNAcentral's name for it is "partial 16S ribosomal RNA". It matches the Rfam family "Bacterial small subunit ribosomal RNA", at positions 524 to 751 of the family's 1533-position model. The record is from RNAcentral.
UACGUAGGGGCGCAAGCGUUGUCCGGAAUUAUUGGGCGUAAAGAGCUCGUAGGCGGUUUGUCGCGUCUGCUGUGAAAACCUCAGGCUCAACCUGGGGCUUGCAGUGGGUACGGGCAGACUAGAGUGCGGUAGGGGUGACUGGAAUUCCUGGUGUAGCGGUGGAAUGCGCAGAUAUCAGGAGGAACACCGAUGGCGAAGGCAGGUCACUGGGCCGCAACUGACGCUGGAG